AUUGAACGCUGGCGGCAGGCCUAACACAUGCAAGUCGGACGGUAGCACAGAGAGCUUGCUCUCGGGUGACGAGUGACGGACGGGUGAGUAAUGUCUGGGGAUCUGCCCGAUAGAGGGGGAUAACCACUGGAAACGGUGGCUAAUACCGCAUAACGUCGCAAGACCAAAGAGGGGGACCUUCGGGCCUCUCACUAUCGGAUGAACCCAGGUGGGGGUUGCUAGUAGGCUGGGUAACGGCCCACCUAGGCGACGUUCCCUGGCUGGUCUGAGAGGAUGAACAGCCACACUGUAAGUGAGACACGGUGCAGAUUCCUACGGGAGGCAUCAGUGGUGAAAAUUGCACAAUGGGCGAAAGCCUGAUGCAGCCAUGCCGCGUGUAUGAAGAAGGCCUUCAGGUUGUAAAGUACUUUCAGCGGGGAGGAAGGCGAUGUGGUUAAUAACCGCGUCGAUUGACGUUACCCGCAGAAGAAGCACCGGCUAACUCCGUGCCAGCCGCCGCAGUAA
This 504-nucleotide ribosomal RNA is filed under the name uncultured bacterium. Its description in RNAcentral is "partial 16S ribosomal RNA". It matches the Rfam family "Bacterial small subunit ribosomal RNA", at positions 30 to 523 of the family's 1533-position model. The record is from RNAcentral.